RNAcentral lists this ribosomal RNA (490 nucleotides) under uncultured bacterium. RNAcentral describes it as "partial 16S ribosomal RNA". It matches the Rfam family "Bacterial small subunit ribosomal RNA", at positions 28 to 507 of the family's 1533-position model. The record is from RNAcentral.
GAUGAACGCUAGCGAUAGGCUUAACACAUGCAAGUCGAGGGGCAGCAUGGUCUUAGCUUGCUAAGACUGAUGGCGACCGGCGCACGGGUGCGUAACGCGUAUGCAACUUGCCUCACAGAGGGGGAUAACCCGUCGAAAGACGGACUAAUACCGCGUACACUUGGGAUAGGGCAUCCUGACCCAAGGAAAUGAAAUUCGCUGUGAGAUAGGCAUGCGUCCCAUUAGCUAGUUGGUGAGGUAACGGCUCACCAAGGCGACGAUGGGUAGGGGAACUGAGAGGUUGAACCCCCACACUGGUACUGAGACACGGACCAGACUCCUACGGGAGGCAGCAGUGAGGAAGAUUGGUCAAUGGGCGAGAGCCUGAACCAGCCAAGUCGCGUGAAGGAUGACUGUCUUAUGGAUUGUAAACUUCUUUUAUACGGGAAUAACAAGAGUCACGUGUGGCUCCCUGCAUGUACCGUAUGAAUAAGCAUCGGCUAACUCCGUG